RNAcentral lists this ribosomal RNA (253 nucleotides) under uncultured bacterium. RNAcentral describes it as "partial 16S ribosomal RNA". It matches the Rfam family "Bacterial small subunit ribosomal RNA", at positions 524 to 776 of the family's 1533-position model. The record is from RNAcentral.
UACGGAGGGGGCUAGCGUUGUUCGGAAUUACUGGGCGUAAAGCGCGCGUAGGCGGACUGAUCAGUCAGAGGUGAAAGCCCUGGGCUCAACCCGGGAAUUGCCUUUGAUACUGUCAGUCUUGAGUCCGGGAGAGGGUUGCGGAAUUCCGAGUGUAGAGGUGAAAUUCGUAGAUAUUCGGAAGAACACCAGUUGCGAAGGCGGCAACCUGGACCGGUACUGACGCUGAGGUGCGAAAGCGUGGGGAGCAAACAGG